CAGCAGCCGCGGGAAUACAGAGGGUGCAAGCGUUAAUCGGAAUUACUGGGCGUAAAGCGCGCGUAGGUGGUUCGCCAAGUUGGAUGUGAAAUCCCCGGGCUCAACCUGGGAACUGCAUCCAAAACUGGCGAGCUAGAGUAUGGUAGAGGGUGGUGGAAUUUCCUGUGUAGCGGUGAAAUGCGUAGAUAUAGGAAGGAACACCAGUGGCGAAGGCGACCACCUGGACUGAUACUGACACUGAGGUGCGAAAGCGUGGGGAGCAAACAGGAUUAGAUACCCCCGUAGUCCCUGUCUCUUAUAC
This 301-nucleotide ribosomal RNA is filed under the name uncultured bacterium. RNAcentral describes it as "partial 16S ribosomal RNA". It matches the Rfam family "Bacterial small subunit ribosomal RNA", at positions 509 to 807 of the family's 1533-position model. The record is from RNAcentral.